RNAcentral lists this ribosomal RNA (459 nucleotides) under uncultured bacterium. RNAcentral describes it as "partial 16S ribosomal RNA". It matches the Rfam family "Bacterial small subunit ribosomal RNA", at positions 339 to 795 of the family's 1533-position model. The record is from RNAcentral.
CUACGGGUGGCACCAGUGAGGAAUAUUGGACAAUGGAGGCAACUCUGACCCAGCCAUGCCGCGUGCAGGAAGACGGCCCUAUGGGUUGUAAACUGCUUUUAUACAGGAAGAAUGGUACCUACGUGUAGGUAUUUGACGGUACUGUACGAAUAAGGAUCGGCUAACUCCGUGCCAGCAGCCGCGGUAAUACGGAGGAUCCAAGCGUUAUCCGGAAUCAUUGGGUUUAAAGGGUCCGUAGGCGGUUUUUUAAGUCAGAGGUGAAAUCCUGCAGCUCAACUGUAGCAUCGCCUUUGAUACUGAAAGACUUGAGUUACUGUGAAGUAGUUAGAAUGUGUAGUGUAGCGGUGAAAUGCAUAGAUAUUACACAGAAUACCGAUUGCGAAAGCAGAUUACUAAUAAUAUACUGACGCUCAGGGACGAAAGCGUGGGUAGCGAACAGGAUUAGAUACCCUAGUAGUC